UGCUGCGGGCCACUGGGCGCUGGCUGCUCCUGCUCACCUCUCCGGGUGCGCUCAGCUCCAGCCCUGCUCCAGCCCAGCUCCAGCCCAACUCCAGCUCAGCUCCAGUCCAGUUCCAGUCAGCUCCAGCCCGGCUCCUGUUCUCCAGCACACGCGCCUCGCCCUCGUCUCGACCCUCGACUUUCGGUCCCUCUGUCGCUCAGUGUCCCGCACCCCGCGACCUCGCGCCCUCCCAAGUCCCUGUGCCCGCUCUUCUAUUCCCACAGCCCCGCCACAGCCCUCUGCCCUUGCUCUCUAGCUCUCUGUCUGCCAGUAGGUCUGUCUGUCUGUCUGCCUCCCCACCCUCCUUUUUCUUCCUCUGUCCCGCUCUGCUGGCUUGUUCGCCAGCUCGACUUGGCGGAGCAGCCUCGAAGGAAAAUCCCAGAAACCUUUGCAGAAAGCUUACAAUGAAAUUUAAGAAGUUCUACUAUUUCGGCGCCAUUUUCGAGUGGAGUGAGAGCGCUUCCAGUUUAUGAAACUCCACCUUGGAAAAGUUUGGCUCGAAGCGAAUGACCCUCUCCAGAAGGGACCAGACGCGUCUUUGUGUUCUCCUUUCGGUGACCAUCGAUGUUUUUUUUUCUCUCCAUUCCGUGUCCAUGUGAAAAUGAUUUGUAAUAUAGCCAAGACAAGACGGGAUUUAGAGACUCGUUCCAACUUAAGGAGUGGAGCUAUUAUUAUUAAUGGCUUUACUUAUCAUGACCUUAUGGCUUUAUUAUCAGUGCAUUUGUUAGCGCUGGAUCACAAUCUGUUGUGUUAGGAAUUUUGUACUUAGUUUAAUUACAUACUCUGUAUAUUUAACUAAUUAAUUAGUUAAUUAAUACGACCCAGCAUUCAUUGUACUAGUUUUGAAAAUCUGACAUAAUUUUAAAUGAAAAUACAGGAAAUAUGGUGACAUUAAAUCUUUGUUUAUGUAUAUAGAACGUAUUUUUACCUUCAAAGGCACUAUAGUUUAUGGUCUUAAUUAUUAGGUUUGUGGUCAAGGAUUGAAGGAUUUUUUUUGUUUGUGCUUUCUUGAAUGUUUUGUUUAAACAAAAGGAAAUGAAUGAAUGUAACCUAUUGCUCCGGUGUCCAUUUUGAAAAUCAGAGCAUGGUCAUGCACAGUGUCGGCCAUUUCAAGACAUGAGUUUCUGUGGAGUUGCUUAAGAAGGAGCCAUUUGACAUCAAGUACUUAACGUUCUUGAUCUGUGAUCACUGAUAAAUGUAAAUGAUUUAUAAAUUAGUUUGGGUAACCAGCAAUGUAUGAAGACAUCUAGGGGUUUCAUCUAGAACAUUCUCAUGCUUUGUCCUUAUAACUAAUGGCAGACAAGGUGUUUACUGUUAGAAUGCAAGAAACUACUAGCCAUGAGUUAAAACCAACUGGCCACCCAGAGGGUUUUUUUUAAUCAAAAGUUCCUUACAUUGAUUUCCAAUAAAUGACCCAAAACUGGAGACAAUAAAUGACACUUAUACAAUGCAGCAGGAAGUUUCACCAAGACUUUGGAGCUGGCAAGAGUGAUCCAGAUGUUACCAAAUUGUCUCAAUUUAAUUAAUCUCACUUUUCGUCUACUUUCUGAGGUAAGAGUCUCCCCACCCCUCUAUUUGCCCUGCUUUCCACCAAUACACUUUCCCAAUAUUCAUGGUGAGGGGGUGUGAAGCCACAUACUGCCCCUCGCCAGCAGAUCCUGGAAAUCGGACAAAAGUAUAAGAAGAACUGGCUUAUAAAAAGUCCCUCAACUUAGAGUGAUAAGUCCUAAGAAGCUUACAUUGUACUUAAUUUUCCCCUGGGGGCAGGGCAAGGAGAGGCUCUCUUCUCCUCACAGAGACUUUCUUCAUUCACAGGUACCCGAGCGACCCCCACCCUCGUUUACUCCGAAGGGAUGCAGCAGCAAUUCAUGUUUUGGAGUAUUGUAAAGGUUCAAAACAUGAAGCGCUGCCACACCCCUUCGCGGGGAACUUAGAAGGUGGGGGCCUGCAGAACAGACCCGUGUGGGUUCUCCUAAAAGCCCCCAAGCAGGUAGGUGGGAGGGUAGAGGCUUGUCUGUUUCUUUAGUUCAUUCUGGACAGGGCCUUAGUCUAGUAAGGGCCACUCUCCACUGUUCAAGGACCCGGGAGGGGGUGACUGCUAAGCAAGCUGGCCAUGCACUUGGAGGGGGGACAAGGUACCCUGCAGUCAGCCCACUACACUCAGUCGUGCCCUAGCAGCGUGAACAGUACUGUGGUAUUUGGUGUCUGGAGUAUUGUUUCCGCUGCCCGGGUAAGUCUGGGACUAACGCCUGGGCACACCCACCAGGUAAGUUACAGUCCAUCGCCUGCAGCGUAGGCCCCAAUGCGAGCAAGACUCCAGAACAGCUCCAGACUAGAGCUUUUGUGUUUGUCUUCCGUGAAACAUUUGCCGACCUGUGAAUAUGUGACUGGGUGUGACAGACCCUUUGUUGUUAGCACCUCAUUGCCUGCCCAGGUAAAACUGAACAGACCUGAAAGAAAGCACUUCCCCAUCACCUAGUGAAAUACCAACCACAGGACAGCAAUGAAGAAAGUUUGUCUUCAGUCCUCAACAACAAGAUGGGGAGGGGGUUCCCGAAAAGGAAUAAGAAGGGGUCCCAAGGUGGUCAGAAGGGUGACUUGAAGCAAUCCCCAUUUCUCCGUGCAGUUCGUCCUGAAGGAGCUUAGGUGCUGUAUAAAAAAGGACUUUAGGGGUGAGGAAAGAUUAAGGGUCCCACAGCUGUGCUAGUGGGGGUAUCUCUGGAUAUCAGGUAUCCAAAAGAAUCACCUAGCCUUGCUGGUGGUGAGCCCCAGGUGACACUGAGGAACAGUGACCUAACAGUGAGGCUCUACAUUUUUAUACCCUCUUUGUCCUCAUUUCCCAAAGUCAUCACACAAUUCUACCCUAACAGCUGGGACUCAAGGGACACCCUUCUCACUGCCUGGAAGCUUAGUAUUGACAGGCUCUAAGAAAAUGGCAAGUAGGACCAGAGGUGUGUGCUGUGACUAAUGAUCGGGGCCCUCUCAUGCCACCUCCAGUCCUUUGAGGAGCCCUUUGAGCCUGCAGUGAGAAAAAGGGGUUCAAGAGUCACCUGGGAAUUGGAGAAGAGUGUUAAUUACCUGAGCAAGGCCUUACUUUUCCUGUGAAAAUCACUUUAUAUUGUCUGGAGCAUGGGAAUGUAAAGGAGUAUUGGAAAACGGGGUGGGGGGAAAUCUCUCUGCUUUGUCAUCUUUAAAAAAAUAAAAUACACAUACACACACCCUUCUGGUCUGUAUGAGCUGCCUUGUAGUGAUCUUCCCCAGGGACUGGGGCCAGGCCCCCAUAAAAUUUACAGUUAGAGGAGGCCUUGAGCGCCUGGGAGUCUAGCUCUAGUCACCAAAUGCCCUUCUCCCAGACUCCCUUGCGCUUGAGCAAUGUGUGGGAGGUGGUUUAGGUUCCUUUGGGCCCCCAAGGACCCCCGGGAUCCCAGGAGCACCAAGAGCCCUAUGGACUUCGGCCAAGCCUUGUCCCCAUCCCCCCCUCAACUUUUUGAAGCCACGCCCCCAGUUUCUGCCCCACCCCGCCCCGUGGCAGGGCCCCUCUGUCCAGGAAUCCCCAGGGCAAAUGGCUAACAGGUUCAGGCAUCCGCGUUCCUAUGCACUGGAUUGGAGGAGGGGCAGUUUGAGACUCCUUACUCUCCCUCACCAGCUUCCCUUCUCCCUUUCCGCUGUUCAACAGGCUUUUCCUUCAAACCAGAGGAAGAGCCCCUGGGUGCAUUGAAGGCGCCCACCCAUCCAGAAGGAUCUGGCCCGCGCCAUCCGGCUUCUUCCAGUGGGUGCCUGCAGGACUCAGGGAACACUACAUCAACAAUCUUGGGGAUGUGGACACAGAAGACUCCUCUUUCAAGAAAGUACAAUCAUCUUCCAGACACUAAUUUAUAUGCAUUUUACCACACUAGAUAUUGACAACCACCCAGCUGGGGGUUAAGAUAUAAUCAAUCACUAGUGUAAUAUUAUAUGUCUUUUAAAAAUGUUACUGGAAAGUGUUUUACGGUCUAUAAGUCAAAGAAUUCGGUCCCACCAUGUCAUUCUUCCUGCUGUUCCCCCCAAUCCAGGCUCCUUUGUUCCAACUGGCAUGUUAACUUGUUUUUCCCACCAAAUGGGUCAGUCAGGUGUGGCAAUGUUACUUGGAAAAACUAGAUGCCAAUAACCAGGGCCACAGAAAAAGGCAGUGGUUGCAACUCUAAAGCAUUUACUCGUGCACACAGACAAGGACAAAGUAGAAUCCUAAACAGGAAAACAUUUGGAUGUGCUCCAGUGCUGGGAGACUAAAUAAUUGUAUGUUGCUUUUGAUUCCAUUAACAUGGGCAACUAUCCAAUUAAACAAAAACCCAAUAAGGA
Molecule: long non-coding RNA, 4377 nt
Organism: Mesocricetus auratus (golden hamster)
Lineage: Eukaryota; Metazoa; Chordata; Mammalia; Rodentia; Cricetidae
Exons: 5
Source: RefSeq, a predicted model, not a curated record